RNAcentral lists this ribosomal RNA (218 nucleotides) under uncultured bacterium. RNAcentral describes it as "partial 16S ribosomal RNA". It matches the Rfam family "Bacterial small subunit ribosomal RNA", at positions 328 to 539 of the family's 1533-position model. The record is from RNAcentral.
ACGCUCGACACCUACUGGAGGCAGCAGUGAGGAAUAUUGGUCAAUGGGCGCUAGCCUGAACCAGCCAAGUAGCGUGAAGGAUGAAGGCUCUAUGGGUCGUAAACUUCUUUUAUAUAAGAAUAAAGUGCAGUAUGUAUACUGUUUUGUAUGUAUUAUAUGAAUAAGGAUCGGCUAACUCCGUGCCUGCAGCCGCGGUAAUCUGAGCGGGCUGGCAAGGC